This 253-nucleotide ribosomal RNA is filed under the name uncultured bacterium. RNAcentral's name for it is "partial 16S ribosomal RNA". It matches the Rfam family "Bacterial small subunit ribosomal RNA", at positions 524 to 776 of the family's 1533-position model. The record is from RNAcentral.
UACGAAGGGGGCUAGCGUUGCUCGGAAUUACUGGGCGUAAAGCGUGCGUAGACGGUCAUGUAAGUCGGGUGUGAAAGCCCCGGGCUCAACCUGGGAAUUGCAUUCGAGACUGCAUGGCUAGGGUGCGGAAGAGGGAAGCGGAAUUUCCGGUGUAGCGGUGAAAUGCGUAGAUAUCGGAAGGAACACCAGUGGCGAAAGCGGCUUCCUGGUCCAGCACCGACGUUCAGGCACGAAAGCGUGGGGAGCAAACAGG